RNAcentral lists this transfer RNA (77 nucleotides) under Klebsiella pneumoniae. RNAcentral describes it as "tRNA-Val". It matches the Rfam family "tRNA". From Rfam's summary of the family: Transfer RNA (tRNA) molecules are approximately 80 nucleotides in length. Their secondary structure includes four short double-helical elements and three loops (D, anti-codon, and T loops). Lineage: Bacteria; Pseudomonadati; Pseudomonadota; Gammaproteobacteria; Enterobacterales; Enterobacteriaceae. The record is from RNAcentral.
CGGGUGAUUAGCUCAGCUGGGAGAGCACCUCCCUUACAAGGAGGGGGUCGGCGGUUCGAUUGCGCCGAACUCAACGA